CUUUGCUGAGUUGUGGGGCCUAAGAGAGGUUCUAUGACUUGGUAAAGAAUGAGUUUCGGGCGGUUUGUUGCGAAAUUGGACUCAGAGGCGGUGGUCAAGGUAAUGAGUGACAACCAUGCCCUUAGUGACUUUGCCAUCACGCUCAUCUCUGAUUGUAAAUUCAUUGUCUCGGGAUUUGAGGAGGUUAUCUUUACGCAGAUUAUGAGGGAAGGAAAUAUGUGUGCUGGUUUUCUUGCCAAUCUCGGUCAAUCGGCAUAAAUGGGAACGACAGUUCGACAGUUCUUGUGGCACCUCCAGAAAAUUUGUUGAGGCUCUUGAUUGGUGAUACUAGCGAAGCAAGAUUUAAAAGAGUCAGACAAUAUCCGCUUAACGCAGUGGCAAUUAUCACCAAAAACACAUACUAUGUAUUAAAUUAAUUCUCAAUUUAGUCAUGGACUAUAGCAAUAUUUUUUAUUUAAUGUAGUUUUUGAC
Molecule: long non-coding RNA, 471 nt
Organism: Ipomoea nil (Japanese morning glory)
Lineage: Eukaryota; Viridiplantae; Streptophyta; Magnoliopsida; Solanales; Convolvulaceae
Exons: 2
Source: RefSeq, a predicted model, not a curated record